AAAAAAGCGAUGAGAGGGAAAAGUAGAAUGAAGAAAGCCUCACAGAGAGAACUACAUUAGCUGAAAGUAGUUUAGGUAGACUUCCUUUGAACAUGCACCCUUGAGCCUCUUUCUGAACGAAUAUCUGUGUAGGAAAGAGCGUGUUGCGGCGUUAUUCGCAUAGAGAUAACAGAUUUUGAUCUGUUAAACAGAGUGGAACCGCGUAAAUAAAGCGCCUCUGUG
Molecule: non-coding RNA, 222 nt
Filed under: Halalkalibacter hemicellulosilyticus
Lineage: Bacteria; Bacillati; Bacillota; Bacilli; Caryophanales; Bacillaceae
Description: Bacillus hemicellulosilyticus T-box sequence
Rfam family: T-box leader
About the family: Uncharged tRNA acts as the effector for transcription antitermination of genes in the T-box leader family. T-boxes are found upstream of many aminoacyl-tRNA synthetase genes and some amino acid biosynthetic genes usually in Gram-positive bacteria.
Source: RNAcentral